RNAcentral lists this ribosomal RNA (1372 nucleotides) under uncultured bacterium. Its description in RNAcentral is "bacterial SSU rRNA". It matches the Rfam family "Bacterial small subunit ribosomal RNA", at positions 28 to 1381 of the family's 1533-position model. The record is from RNAcentral.
GAUGAACGCUGGCGGCGUGCCUAAUACAUGCAAGUCGAGCGAACGGACGAGAAGCUUGCUUCUCUGAUGUUAGCGGCGGACGGGUGAGUAACACGUGGAUAACCUACCUAUAAGACUGGGAUAACUUCGGGAAACCGGAGCUAAUACCGGAUAAUAUUUUGAACCGCAUGGUUCAAAAGUGAAAGACGGUCUUGCUGUCACUUAUAGAUGGAUCCGCGCUGCAUUAGCUAGUUGGUAAGGUAACGGCUUACCAAGGCAACGAUGCAUAGCCGACCUGAGAGGGUGAUCGGCCACACUGGAACUGAGACACGGUCCAGACUCCUACGGGAGGCAGCAGUAGGGAAUCUUCCGCAAUGGGCGAAAGCCUGACGGAGCAACGCCGCGUGAGUGAUGAAGGUCUUCGGAUCGUAAAACUCUGUUAUUAGGGAAGAACAUAUGUGUAAGUAACUGUGCACAUCUUGACGGUACCUAAUCAGAAAGCCACGGCUAACUACGUGCCAGCAGCCGCGGUAAUACGUAGGUGGCAAGCGUUAUCCGGAAUUAUUGGGCGUAAAGCGCGCGUAGGCGGUUUUUUAAGUCUGAUGUGAAAGCCCACGGCUCAACCGUGGAGGGUCAUUGGAAACUGGAAAACUUGAGUGCAGAAGAGGAAAGUGGAAUUCCAUGUGUAGCGGUGAAAUGCGCAGAGAUAUGGAGGAACACCAGUGGCGAAGGCGACUUUCUGGUCUGUAACUGACGCUGAUGUGCGAAAGCGUGGGGAUCAAACAGGAUUAGAUACCCUGGUAGUCCACGCCGUAAACGAUGAGUGCUAAGUGUUAGGGGGUUUCCGCCCCUUAGUGCUGCAGCUAACGCAUUAAGCACUCCGCCUGGGGAGUACGACCGCAAGGUUGAAACUCAAAGGAAUUGACGGGGACCCGCACAAGCGGUGGAGCAUGUGGUUUAAUUCGAAGCAACGCGAAGAACCUUACCAAAUCUUGACAUCCUUUGACAACUCUAGAGAUAGAGCUUUCCCCUUCGGGGGACAAAGUGACAGGUGGUGCAUGGUCGUCGUCAGCUCGUGUCGUGAGAUGUUGGGUUAAGUCCCGCAACGAGCGCAACCCUUAAGCUUAGUUGCCAUCAUUAAGUUGGGCACUCUAAGUUGACUGCCGGUGACAAACCGGAGGAAGGUGGGGAUGACGUCAAAUCAUCAUGCCCCUUAUGAUUUGGGCUACACACGUGCUACAAUGGACAAUACAAAGGGCAGCGAAACCGCGAGGUCAAGCAAAUCCCAUAAAGUUGUUCUCAGUUCGGAUUGUAGUCUGCAACUCGACUACAUGAAGCUGGAAUCGCUAGUAAUCGUAGAUCAGCAUGCUACGGUGAAUACGUUCCCGGGUCU